Molecule: long non-coding RNA, 753 nt
Filed under: Ananas comosus (pineapple)
Lineage: Eukaryota; Viridiplantae; Streptophyta; Magnoliopsida; Poales; Bromeliaceae
Description: long non-coding RNA (ACOM_LNC013783)
Source: RNAcentral
ACAUAAAUCAUACAUUCUCUUUCGGAUGUGUACAUAACAUUCAGGGUGCGUUUGGUUCGCAUUAUGAAAGAUUACUAUUCCUAUUCAUUCUAUUACUAAAAAUGUGUAAUUCCUAUGUUUGGUUCGCAUGGUAAUAUUAAUUAGCCAUGUUAUUUAAUAUUACAAAAAAUAUACAAUUAAUUAAUUUAUUUAUUUAUUUAAUUUUAGAUAAUGUUAUCAAAAGUUUCAACAUCUUUUUUAAAAAAAGAGAGAGAGAGUAUAAGUUAGAGAGAGAGAGCAUAAUUAAAAAAAUAGAAAGAAAAAUAUAGUCGAAAUUAGAGGGAGUGAGAGAGUUGAAAUUUUAGAAAGAGAGAGAGAGAGAGAAAGCUUAGUUUAGAGAGAGAAAAAAAGUUGAAUUUUAGAGAGAAAAAUAAGUUUAGAGAGAAAUAUAAGGUUAGAGUGUAAUGAAAAAUAAUAUCAAUUAGCCGGCGGGUAGGAAGAAAGAAAGAGAUUAGACAUAUUAUGAUUACCCCAAUCCAUUAAUAUGAGAAUACCCACCCUCCCUCAAAGGAAUGAGAUUACUACUUUGGGAUGAAUCUUAUUCCCAAGUGAAUCCAAUAAUACCAACUAAAUUACUUAGUGCGUUUAGCCAAACACCGUCAUAUUUUUUUUAUUCCCAUUGAAUUAUUAGGAACCUUUAAAAGAUAGCGCGAACCAAACGCACCAUUAGUAUUUCCAAUUAAAAGUCCCCUUUUUGCAUAUGUACCCUUAAAA